Molecule: ribosomal RNA, 461 nt
Filed under: uncultured bacterium
Lineage: Bacteria
Description: bacterial SSU rRNA
Rfam family: Bacterial small subunit ribosomal RNA
Source: RNAcentral
UGACCCAGCCAUGCCGCGUGCAGGAUGACGGCCCUAUGGGUUGUAAACUGCUUUUAUAUACCAAGAAACCCCCGGACGUGUCCGGGGCUGACGGUAGUAUAUGAAUAAGGACCGGCUAACUCCGUGCCAGCAGCCGCGGUAAUACGGAGGGUCCAAGCGUUAUCCGGAUUUAUUGGGUUUAAAGGGUUCGUAGGCGGGGAAUUAAGUCAGUGGUGAAAGCCUGUAGCUCAACUAUAGAAUUGCCAUUGAUACUGAUUUUCUUGAGUGUAUUUGGAGUUGGCGGAAUAUGUCAUGUAGCGGUGAAAUGCUUAGAUAUGACAUAGAACACCGAUCGCGAAGGCAGCCAACUAAGAUACUACUGACGCUGAGGAACGAAAGCGUGGGGAGCAAACAGGAUUAGAUACCCUGGUAGUCCACGCUGUAAACGAUGAUUACUCGAUAUUGGUCUUACGAUCAGUGUC